CCUACGGGAGGCAGCAGUGAGGGAUAUUGGUCAAUGGGGGAAACCCUGAACCAGCAACGCCGCGUGAGGGAAGACGGUUUUCGGAUUGUAAACCUCUGUCCUCUGUGAAGAUAAUGACGGUAGCAGAGGAGGAAGCUCCGGCUAACUACGUGCCAGCAGCCGCGGUAAUACGUAGGGAACAAGCGUUGUCCGGAUUUACUGGGUGUAAAGGGUGCGUAGGCGGCCCUGCAAGUCAGAAGUGAAAUCCAUGGGCUUAACCCGUGAACUGCUUUUGAAACUGUAGGGCUUGAGUGAAGUAGAGGCAGGCGGAAUUCCCGGUGUAGCGGUGAAAUGCGUAGAGAUCGGGAGGAACACCAGUGGCGAAGGCGGCCUACUGGGCUUUAACUGACGCCGAAGCACGAAAGCGUGGGUAGCAAACAGGAUUAGAUACCCCUGUAGUC
This 440-nucleotide ribosomal RNA is filed under the name uncultured bacterium. RNAcentral describes it as "partial 16S ribosomal RNA". It matches the Rfam family "Bacterial small subunit ribosomal RNA", at positions 338 to 795 of the family's 1533-position model. The record is from RNAcentral.